RNAcentral lists this ribosomal RNA (123 nucleotides) under Candidatus Saccharimonadota bacterium. RNAcentral's name for it is "partial 16S ribosomal RNA". It matches the Rfam family "Bacterial small subunit ribosomal RNA", at positions 1 to 124 of the family's 1533-position model. Lineage: Bacteria; Candidatus Saccharimonadota. The record is from RNAcentral.
UUUUUGGAGAGUUUGAUCCUGGCUCAGGAUGAACGCUGGCGGCGUGCCUAAUACAUGCAAGUCGAGCGGAAAGGCCUCUUCGGAGGUACUCGAGCGGCGGACGGCUGAGUAACGCGUAGGAAC